UGAAUCAUAUCAUGAAACAAAGUCGCCAUAACUCUUUGAUACGUGGCACCGGCGUUCUUGAGACUGAAUGGCACCACCUCCACUUUUGACACUCGCCUCCAAGGCGGCCCCAACCUUUACUUCCUUUCAUACCUCCUCGGUACCCAGGUUAACAAGCUCAACUCGCUCCUCGUGCGGUUGAAUCACCUUCUCCUCCUGUUUCAACAACCUGGCUAAUUCCUCCGGCAGUUC
Molecule: long non-coding RNA, 231 nt
Filed under: Lathyrus oleraceus (garden pea)
Lineage: Eukaryota; Viridiplantae; Streptophyta; Magnoliopsida; Fabales; Fabaceae
Description: Pisum sativum (pea) long non-coding RNA (PSAT_LNC001297)
Source: RNAcentral